GCUCUGGUGGCCUAGUGGUUAGAGCGUCCGCCUCGGAUGCGAGAGGUCGUAGUUUGAUCCCCAUACCAAAGACU
Potamilus streckersoni is the source of this 74-nucleotide non-coding RNA. The record is from the annotation of a GenBank genome assembly. Lineage: Eukaryota; Metazoa; Mollusca; Bivalvia; Unionida; Unionidae.